This is an RNA transcript of Oreochromis niloticus (Nile tilapia), 1583 nucleotides long. RefSeq lists it as uncharacterized. The transcript has 7 exons. Lineage: Eukaryota; Metazoa; Chordata; Actinopteri; Cichliformes; Cichlidae. The record is from RefSeq and is a predicted model, not a curated record.
AUAAAACAGCUGGAUGAAGAAAGUCAAUCAUCUGCCAGCUAAGUAAGAAGAGACAAUAGCAGUAUGUAUUUGAUCUUUGUUAUAUUUUCUACAUUUAAAAAAAUGGGCCAUCCACAGAGUUAAAGUCAGCUCUAACAUUUCAAACACAGCCUAUUGUAUUACUAUAUUAAAGUUGUUUGGUAAACACUUCUAGCUGCCCUGUCAGAGGACACGACCUAUCUUUUCACUUGAAUACCGAGAAAGCCCUGGCAUGCCAGGGACUGGGACUUCCUGGAAUCAGGAGGGAUGUACCACAGAGAAGGUACCUGGCUUUCUACGAGUUUUAAACCAUACUGAAAACCCCUCCGUCUCUAGCUUCAUGUCUGCCAGUUAAAAGAAGAAAUAACAACAGGAGAAGAUGAUCUGCAGAAUCCUGCUGCUCAUCAUCCUCACCUCAUGUGUCUCUGGAUCAUUUGUAGUCAAUGUGACACAGACCUGCUAUCAGGCAGAGGAGAACCACAACAUCACACUGGAGUGGACGUUCACCACCAAACCUGACAGAUCCUCCAAAACCCUCAACAUCUUUUGUGAACUCUUUAUCAGUAAUAACAUCUCAGUCCUGUAUCAUGUUCAUGAAGGUGUUGAGGUGUCAGAGUCUCAGGAUGAAAAGUUUUCAGGACGAGUCCAGAGUGACAAAGAUGCCCUCAGAGAAGGACGAAUCAGACUUCAACUGUCCAGACUCAGGACUGAUGACUCGGGUCUGUACCUGUGUGAGGUCAACACUGAUUAUGGCUUCAGUGUUGGAAGAUGUCGACUCAACGUCACUGGAGCCAAAAAUUCAAAGGAGAAGUACUGGGAGAAAGUUAAAAAUGCUUUAGCAGGUGGACAGAUUGCAGGUAUAAUACUUGCUGGAUUGAUGGUCCUAUUAGGUGAAAUAGUUGACCCUAAAUUCUUCAUUAACAAAGAAGUAAGAGAAGAGACCACAUCAGAUGCAGAUGAAACAACAGUUCCUCUUCAACUAUUGGCUGCAUUGAGUCUGUGACUUUUCUCUAUUGAAAACAGGCAGACGAAGGCUCAGAGGGCUGUGAAGUUACACAUCUAGAAGCAUAAGGCCUGCUGGUGAAGCCUAGAUGUUCUGCAACAAGAGUGUUUGUGUGUGAGAGAAAGCCAUGGAGGAGAAUCUGGAUUUACUAAUGGAUCGACUUCCCUGAAGGCUCUUUGUAAAUAGAGGCAGUGAAUCAUCCCCUACUUGUAAAGUCUGUAAAUAUUUAUAUACUUCUGUGGGUACUGUAAAUAAACUCUCUAAACCUGCUUUACUGAGUCCAGCCUGCCUUUUGACCAUGACAGAUUUUGAUCUCAUAGGAAAAGAAUACGGUCAAUGUUUUUACUUUGCUGUUUCCACUUUUGCUCAGUUGUCAUCUUAGUUAAUUAUUAUUCUACAACUCCUUUCUGAAGGACUUUUCAUUUUAAUUUGCUCAAUUUAUUUGCAGGUAAAUGUAUAAACUCUGCUUUCUCCUCUCACAUACAUUUAAACAAGCACUCCUACUGUCAUGACUACUUUAACUUCCCUGUAAAUUAUAUGUAAAAAAAAAAAAAAAAAACCU